CCGGACCGGCUCGUACAACCCGAAUCGCGCAAAGCGAGACGAGACGGUUGAUGCCGCCGAGGAGAAGGAAGCAAGAAGCCCUGCUCCUCUGUUUUGUCUCUGCUGCGGCGGGGUCCGUGGAGCCCAGAGUGCGGUGUUCCCUUGUGACCGCGAGAGGACGGCCAUGCUUGUCCGCAUGGCUGUGGGGGUCAUGACCAGUGCCAGCAAACAGUGGUUGUCUCUGUUCCGUCUCAAGCUCGGAGGGGAAGCACGGAGAGAAAAUAAAGAUAAGUGUCGCCUAACAUGUCUGCUGUGUAUCAGAUGUCAUGUGCCGGUGAAUACGUCACCGAAGACAAAAGCUUGGAUGCGAUAAUAUUAAUGCUAUUUUAUGUUGUGCAGAAGAAGAAGAAGCAAGUAGGCAGAACAACAAGUACGGAGAGGUUGAUGCUUCCACAUCCAUCGCAGUUUGUUCCUUGAUGGUGGGUUUGGUAUUUAAGCUUAAAAAACAUCAGAUAUGAUUCUAACUUGUUGGCCCUAAAAAUGGUCUUUUUACCUUUUUUUUUCUUGAAGGACAUGUUUGGUUCUCACACAAGCAGAGAAGAAAUAGUAAACGCAUCUAAUAGAAAUGGGAGAAGACCUCCUCGGUUGCAAGAAAGAAUUUUUAGCAAUGAGAAUUGCAACUCCAAGAUUCACUUGUAUGUAUAACCUUUCCUAUGCUACAACAUAUAUGGAUAUAUAAUGUGUUCUAAAAUAUCCAUCUACGUCAGCCAUAAAAUGAUAUUGGCACCAAUCUAGAACAAUGAUAAAGAUGCUUUGGAGAUUCCAAACUCAUGUGCAAGUAGCUAAUAAUAUCACUCACAGGCAUGCUUGGGAUUGAGAAGAAGAAGAAGAAGAAGAAGAGUAUAAGAAAAGGUGCUAGUGAUUAUAAUAUCAUCAAAUUUAUGGUCCACGCUUUAAUGGUUGUAUCAUAAAAUAAAAUAAAAAAUGCAUGCCAUGGUAGUACAGAUUUGGGAUCCUUGGUGAACUUUAAAAUGCAGUUGAUAAUAAUGCCAUUAAAGUGUUUACAUUUGUAUGUACCCUUCAUUUUAGAAACAUAAACAAGAAAAGAGAGUACCACAUAAUUCAAUUAUUUUAAUAGAAAGUUACAUAUAGCUUAACUAGGAGGGUUGAUGCAUGAACUUCUUGGAACUUCACCAGGAAGCUUCCUCUAAGCACCUUCUUAACAGCAUUAAGUAUGAAGCCUUUGAUUCUUGUGCAUGAAUGGUUGAUAAAUAUAUAUUAGAGAGGCCAUAUCCCCUUUAGGAUCUUCAAGGAAUCUUAAUCAGAGAGGUGUACAGCUAGUUUGAUGCUGGAAGAAUGUGAACCACCUAAAUCUCUUAAUGUUAGCUUUUGCUUGCAUUAUUCUACUGCACCUCAUAUAUUAUAGGUUCAGAUCAUCCCAAUACAUUAUGUUGGUGCUCAUACUAAAACCUUCUUUCAGUUUCUUUUUCAUCUCACAAGUAAUUUCUCAAACUAAAAGACAUAUUGCUGAAAUUAGGGAUGGAUCUUACAAGCAAGGACAAUUGCUGUUGCCAAUAGUAAGGUGUAGAGAGUCCCUUGGCAUGACAACUUAGUCGAUAAAUGCUUCGCAUCCUCUGAACAUGCCCUUGUUAACAUCUAAUGUCGAGCAUCAAAGGCUUACUAUCCACCAAAAAAUGUUUCUUUGAUGUGAUGUUUUAGCUAAUGCCACGGAUAUGUAUGAGUUUACAACCACAAAUUGCAGUACUUUUGCUGGUACAAAGUAUCGAACAUGUCACAUGGAGUUCAGUGUUCUGUUGCAGACAUAAGGUAGGUAUGUGCAGUGAGUUGAUCUACAUGGUUGGGUGUUGAUAAGGUCAAUCAGUGGCUUCUUGACCUGUACCAGCUGUUUUGAUCGCAACGUUUCUACCCCAUCUAUCAAACACACUCUGUUGCUGCAGUCCAUUUUGGCAGUAUUAUUUACUCAUUUUUUCUCUCUUUUUGCUCAUAUAUUUAUCUGUUCUGUAGUUUUAACUCUACCCCACAAGCCUCCCACAUUUCCAUGAGCAUUUUUUCUAUCUGCCACUUGUACAAUUCAUUUUGAUUUCUUUAAAGGCAUCCGUUCUGUCAAGAACAUGGUUUUGGUGCAACAGUGGCUACAAGAACAAGAAAAAGGAAAAAAGAAUUCACAACCAACAUCAGAUGCCUAAAAGAUUAUUACAUAUUCUUUGGACAGCUACAGCACCACAAAGCAGAUGCCAUGUGAGUUUGACCAUGCACUGUUCUUGCCUCUGGGGACACCAUCGCCAUCCCCUGCAGCAUGGGUGGCUUCACAGAAUUCAACAACCUCUUUAGUGUACAAUUUUAGAGUGGGGAGGAAGAAAUGAUUGAUUGGAUGGUGAUUGAACUGGCCACCUUCCAAAGGCUUCAAGGGCCGACAUCUUUUUACAGUUGGUUUAGCUUUCGGUAGACAGUAAUAUUCUGCAUGAAGUCAGCGGACAUGCAGUAAGAUUACUCUUGGAAGAUGAUCUUACUGUCUCAGUUCCCUGUCUGCCAUGGUUUCUGCUUAUCUGAAAUAUAUAUUUUUUUUAAUUUUAACUGUAAACAUUUGAAAAUCAUAACCAAUCAUAAAUUAGAUAAACCUCUACUUUCAGUGUUAUGUACUUAUUCUUGAAUCUUCUGUUCUUUGCAGAUAAAAUGGGAGAAAUGAAAGUACUGUUGGAUCAACUUAUGCUUAUGAAUACAAGAAAUUGUAAGUUGAUUGGGUUCCUUGGAUUUUGUUAUGGUGAAUGAGUGGCUCAGAAGACACCACAAGGCAUAGUUUCAGUCCAUCCUUAUCCUGUGCAAUUCAGUUCCCAAAUUUGUGUGUUGUUGCAGUAUGAACCUUCUACUAGUUAAAGAAGCUUGGCAAUCUACACCCAUAUGUGAACCCUUCCCUACCAUUUUCUUAUGUUCAAGACAACUGUGAAAACAAAUUCUUCCUUUUUACUUUUUGGGAAAAAA
RNAcentral lists this long non-coding RNA (2979 nucleotides) under Musa acuminata (dwarf banana). RNAcentral's name for it is "long non-coding RNA (MACU_LNC001101)". The record is from RNAcentral. Lineage: Eukaryota; Viridiplantae; Streptophyta; Magnoliopsida; Zingiberales; Musaceae.